CGUGUACUCCCUCCGUCCGAAAAAGUUUGUCCCUCAAAUGGAUGUAUCUAGUACCAAGUUAGUGCUAGAUACAUCCAUUUGAGAAACAAGCUUGGGACAAGCUUUUUCGGACGGAGGGAGUACUAU
Triticum aestivum (bread wheat) is the source of this 126-nucleotide non-coding RNA. The record is from Rfam. NCBI's taxonomy places the organism in Eukaryota, Viridiplantae, Streptophyta, Magnoliopsida, Poales, Poaceae.